Molecule: ribosomal RNA, 253 nt
Filed under: uncultured bacterium
Lineage: Bacteria
Description: partial 16S ribosomal RNA
Rfam family: Bacterial small subunit ribosomal RNA
Source: RNAcentral
UACGUAGGGUGCGAGCGUUAAUCGGAAUUACUGGGCGUAAAGCGUGCGCAGGCGGUUGUGCAAGACAGAUGUGAAAUCCCCGGGCUUAACCUGGGAACUGCAUUUGUGACUGCACGGCUAGAGUGUGUCAGAGGGGGGUAGAAUUCCAUGUGUAGCAGUGAAAUGCGUAGAUAUGUGGAGGAAUACCGAUGGCGAAGGCAGCCCCCUGGGAUAACACUGACGCUCAUGCACGAAAGCGUGGGGAGCAAGCAGG